CGUUCGUAGUUGAAUGUGUGCUUCAUACGGGUAGUACAAACUACAAUAGUGGAUUGUACAUUACCUUAUGUAUGCAAGCAUAUUACCGGUGGAGUUCUAAUACUUAAUGGUACUUGUAUCAUUUUGUAUACCUCCUAUUUAAACCUACUUCAGUGCUCUUUACCGAGUGCUGUUGUGGGCCGGUACAUUUACUUUGAACAAAUUAGAGUGCUUAAGGCAGGCCCCAAACGCCUGAAUAUUCUGUGCAUGGAAUAAUGAAAAAAGACUUCUGAUCUAUCUUCAUUGGUUUUUAGAUCAAGAGGAAAUGAUUAAUAGAAGCAGUUUGGGGGCAUUAGUAUUACGACGCGAGAGGU
RNAcentral lists this ribosomal RNA (353 nucleotides) under Scaeva pyrastri. Its description in RNAcentral is "SSU rRNA". It matches the Rfam family "Eukaryotic small subunit ribosomal RNA", at positions 625 to 912 of the family's 1831-position model. The record is from RNAcentral. Lineage: Eukaryota; Metazoa; Arthropoda; Insecta; Diptera; Syrphidae.